GAUGAACGCUGGCGGCGUGCCUAACACAUGCAAGUCGAACGGAGAUAUUGCUUGGAAGCUUUUCGGAGUGAAAGAGAAGUAUCUUAGUGGCGGACGGGUGAGUAACGCGUGGGCAACCUGCCUCAUACAGGGGGAUAGCAUCGGGAAACUGGUGGUAAAACCGCAUAAGCGCACGAAGACGCAUGUAUUUGUGUGAAAAGGAGAAAUCUGGUAUGAGAUGGACCCGCGUCUGAUUAGCUAGUUGGAGUGGUAAAAGCACACCAAGGCGACGAUCAGUAGCCGGCCUGAGAGGGUGGACGGCCACAUUGGGACUGAGACACGGCCCAG
RNAcentral lists this ribosomal RNA (327 nucleotides) under uncultured bacterium. RNAcentral's name for it is "bacterial SSU rRNA". It matches the Rfam family "Bacterial small subunit ribosomal RNA", at positions 28 to 334 of the family's 1533-position model. The record is from RNAcentral.